UAGGGUCAGCUAAAAAAGCUAUUGGGCCCAUACCCCGAAAAUGUUGGUUCAACACCUUCCCCUACUAAU
Molecule: transfer RNA, 69 nt
Filed under: Microlophus bivittatus
Lineage: Eukaryota; Metazoa; Chordata; Lepidosauria; Squamata; Tropiduridae
Also listed under: 1 other name
Description: tRNA-Met
Source: RNAcentral